Non-coding RNA from Doryrhamphus excisus (bluestripe pipefish), 4111 nucleotides. The record is from RefSeq and is a predicted model, not a curated record. Lineage: Eukaryota; Metazoa; Chordata; Actinopteri; Syngnathiformes; Syngnathidae.
ACACAGUCAUCACAUUGACAGCCCGUCAAUAGCAGCUGGAACUCCAAUUUAGCUGGCAGUUAAAUGCAAAAAUCAUCAGAGAGAUGUAAAAAUGUAAACAACUGCUUAGUUAGGCCACUCUUAUGCUAAAGUAGCACUGGACUUGGAUUUGCCCUACUUUUUCGACGGCCAUUAAACGCACCGAUGCACCGUUCACCGAUGCAAAGAGGGCUGUAUGGAUGUAUUUGGAUGUAUUUUCCCUUAUUUUUCUUUCACCUCAUACUUGCUCCCGAAUGCUGAUACUAUGUAGGAAUGCAUAAAGCAGCUCUUCCGGGUCGCCUUGCUCCGUCAGACAGUCUUCCGCCAUUUUAAGAACCUUCUCCAGAUCCGAGCGUGACUCGUCAAAGCGCUUCAUGAGGCUGCUGUUUGCCUCCAUUCGCUUCCUCCACUCCGUGGCUUCCUUAAACAUGGACUUCACGCACAUGCAAGGUGGACAUGUUUACAGAAAAGGAGGAGUGAGUGCAUCACAAUUUAGGCAAAACAAAGCAGAGAUGUUCACCUGUGAGGAGCUUUGGAGGUCAGCUACUCUCUUCUGCAGGAGACUCAUGUCCAUGUGCUGCAAGGUUUUACUGGCGUCCGUGAGCUUCAGGAUGGUCUGGUGAUUCCUUUCAAUGACGACGAGACACUUCUUGCAGCUUUGUGUGGCGGCCGCCAGCUCCUGCCCAACAUCAGCGUGCCCAAGUUGUCAGCUGCAUUUGGACCCUCUCGCGGUACGACUCACCUGGCACUUCUGUUUGAAGUCCACGGGUCCUUCUGAGUCUGUGCCGCCGGUCACAUGGCUGGCCUUCUCCAAAGCCUGGUAGAAGCCUGUGAUGUUUUUCUCCAUUUCUUCGAGCGGCGCCAAGAGGGACUGAGACUCCUUCAGCAGAGGCAGACAUCGCUCUCUAACCUAAACGGGGUCGCUGGGGUGCUGGAGCCUAUCCCAGCUGUCUUGGGGCGAGAGGCGGGGUACACCCUGGACUGGUAGCCAGCCAAUCACAGGGCACAUAUAGACAAACAACCAUUCACACUCACAUUCAUACCUACGGACAAUUUGGAGUCACCAAUUAACCUAGCAUGUUUUUGGAAUGUGGGAGGAAACCCACAUGCAAACUCCACACAGAGAUGGCCGAGGGUGGAAUUGAACCCUGGUCUCCUAGCUGUGAGGUCUGCGUGCUAACCAGCCACCCUAGGAAGAAGCAAAGCUUAUUAAAUCCUACCCCUCCAUCUGCUAUUUUUACAAUCAGUAACUGUUACAUUUGUUCACUUCCUGCUUUCGUAAUAUAUAUUUUUUUGUUUUUAUCACGUACCAAAGUAGGAGGUGAUAUGAGCAUCCAAUGCCAUAAUGUGUACCAUAGUAAAUGUCAAUAUAGUGAUAUAUAUAGCACAUCAUGACUGGUUCAAGACUCUUCAUCCUUGGAUUUAGCAAAUUUAUUUUAUUUAUUUAUUGAUCAAUUUAUUUUAUAAUUUAAAAAAAAUUGUAGUUUUUAAAUUUUUUUUAAAUUUUGUUUUUUGUCACGUACCGAAGUAGGAGGUGAUAUGAGCAUCCAAUGACAUAAUGGGUACGAUAGUAAGUGUCAAUAUAGUGAUAUAUAUAGCACAUCAUGACUGGUUCAAGACUCUUCAUCCUUGGAUUUAGCUAAUUUAUUUUAUUUAUUUAUUCAUUAAUUUAUUUUAUAAUUUUUUUUUUUUUUUUUAGUUUUUAAAUUUUUUUUUAAAUUUUAUUUUUUGUCACGUACCGAAGUACUCGGUGAUAUGAGCAUCCAAUGACAUAAUGGGUACCAUAGUAAGUGUCAAUAUAGUGAUAUAUAUAUAUAGCACAUCAUUUUUAUCACCUAGUUCCACUGAUGUCAUUCAACCCAGACGUCCUUAUAUGGGCAUGCCCAGCUACACACUAUAAGUGGUUGUCUGUGUAGCAUUAUAGAGUGUGCAUACGGGUAGUGGAGUGUUACCUACAUGCAUGCAUGCACAAUAGUUUGAGAAAAGAUAACAAAAAAACGACCCCAUUUCCACUUCCGAUGUUGUGCCAAGAUUGCCUAGCAGGAAGUAGGAAGCCCGUGCAAGGUUUAAGAACAGAACGUUUAAGAAUCUUAUGCAAAGAUCCUGUAUGUAGAAGCACUGUGGUGUUCUAGCGAAACGUUAUGGGGUCUAUGAGGUGUGGGGGGCGUGGCUUGUGAAGACACAGCAGAGCGCCACGGUCGCACCUUGCUCAGCUGCUCUUUAAUGGAGGCCAUCACCGCCGUCAUCUGAGCCACCUCCUCGGGUGCCGUGUCUUUGCUCAGCAGCUGGGCCGUGCGAGCCGCCGCCUUGGAGGCCGCUUCCAUGGCAGGAACUUUGUGUUUGAUUUCCUGCGGGGAAGUGGAAAGUCAUGACACGUGUGCUACGGGAGAAGCAACGAAGGAAGACAGACGACAAGGCUUUACCUCCACGUCCUGAACAAAUGUGCGCACGUUCAGGAAGGACACUUGGACAGGAGCGUUCAUCUUCCGGUCGGUGGCAUCCAUGAACAUUUUCAAAGUGUUGAUGCCGUCAUGGUAGUCUUGCCUCAGCCUGUCCACCUCGUCCGCUCUUGCAUACUGCCGAAAAAAGCAGCGUGACUUUCAUCUAAAGCGCAAAGCAAGCUUCCAUUGAGAGCAAGGGUACGGCUCAUUUACAUAUUUGACUUUGACAAAGAGCUCCCGCCAUCUCCCGUUCAGGAGCAGAAGCUGCUGCUUGAGGUCUCGGGACACGGCAUCAUCGCAGGUUUCAAUGAGGAAGUUGCCGGCGUCGUUCAUGUCCAUAUGCUGCUGGAUCCAGUGGGACAGGUUGCGGAAGAACUCCUUGAAGGAGGUGGAAACAAAUACUGAUGAUGAUCAGAUGAGCCACUGGGCAAAAACGGCCUGCAUGGCACAGUUUUAAGACCAAAAGCACUGCUGAACAAAAAGAACAUUAAGACUGGUCUCCAUUUUGAAGAACAUCUUGAUGAUCCCAAAGACCUUUGGGAAAAUACCGUGUGGUCUGACCAGACAAAAAAUUAACUUUUUGGCAUUUCAGAAAAAAAGAUCAUAGCAACGGUAAAAUAUGGUGGUGGUAGUGUGAUGGUCUGGGGCUGUUUUGCUGCUUCAGGACCUUUGGGAAAAUACCGUGUGGUCUGACCGGACAAAAAAUUAACUUUUUGGCAUUUCAGAAAAAAAGAUCAUAGCAACGGUAAAAUAUGGUGGUGGUAGUGUGAUGGUCUGGGGCUGUUUUGCUGCUUCAGGACCUUUGGGAAAAUACCGUGUGGUCUGACAAGACAAAAAAAUUAACUUUUUGGCAUUUCAGAAAAAGAAGAUCAUAGCAACGGUAAAAUAUGGUGGUGGUAGUGUGAUGGUCUGGGGCUGUUUUGCUGCUUCAGGACCUUUGGGAAAAUACCGUGUGGUCUGACCGGACAAAAAAAUUAACUUUUUGGCAUUUCAGAAAAAGAUCAUAGCAACGGUAAAAUAUGGUGGCGGUAGUGUGAUGGUCUGGGGCUGUUUUGCUGCUUCAGGACCUUUGGGAAAAUACCGUGUGGUCUGACAAGACAAAAAAUUAACUUUUUGGCAUUUCAGAAAAAGAAGAUCAUAGCAACGGUAAAAUAUGGUGGCGGUAGUGUGAUGGUCUGGGGCUGUUUUGCUGCUUCAGGACCUUUGGGAAAAUACCGUGUGGUCUGACCAGACAAAAAAUUAACUUUUUGGCAUUUCAGAAAAUAAAGAUCAUAGCAACGAUAAAAUAUGGUGGUGGUAGUGUGAUGGUCUGGGGCUGUUUUGCUGCUUCAGGACCUGAAAGCAUGAAUUCUGCUGAAGUAGAAUGUCCACCCAUCUGUUGGUGACCUCAAGCUGAAAGCAACUUGUUGUUCUGCAGCAGGACUACGAUCCAAAACCCACCAGCAAGUCCACGGAACCAAAUUUAGACUUUGGAGUGGCCUAGUCCAAGUCCUGACCUGAAUCCUAUGGAGAUGCUGUGGCAUGACCUUUCAUGCUGGAAAUGUGGAGCCAACAAUUUUGCAAACAUGUGGGCCAAAAUUCUUCCACAGACUCAUUGCAAGUUAGCACAAAAGCUUGAUUGCAGUUGUUGGGGACAAUUGUUUUUUUCACAC